Molecule: ribosomal RNA, 253 nt
Filed under: uncultured bacterium
Lineage: Bacteria
Description: partial 16S ribosomal RNA
Rfam family: Bacterial small subunit ribosomal RNA
Source: RNAcentral
GACGUAGGGCGCGAGCGUUGUCCGGAUUUAUUGGGCGUAAAGAGCUCGUAGGCGGCUUGUCGCGUCGACUGUGAAAACUCGGGGCUUAACCCCGAGCCUGCAGUGGAUACGGGCAGACUAGAGGUAGGUAGGGGAGAAUGGAAUUCCCGGUGUAGCGGUGAAAUGCGCAGAUAUCGGGAGGAACACCGGUGGCGAAGGCGGUUCUCUGGGCCUUACCUGACGCUGAGGAGCGAAAGCGUGGGGAGCGAACAGG